This 89-nucleotide transfer RNA is filed under the name Streptomyces sp. Go-475. RNAcentral's name for it is "tRNA-Glu". Lineage: Bacteria; Bacillati; Actinomycetota; Actinomycetes; Kitasatosporales; Streptomycetaceae. RNAcentral also lists the same sequence under 2 other names. The record is from RNAcentral.
CGGCGUUCUACUACGGCGUCGUCCGCGCCCUCGCCGAGGAGGCCAGGCCGGUCUGGACCCGGCUGCCGUUCGAGGCGGCGGCCGCCAAC